GGGGGGGGGGGGGGGGGGGGGGGGGGGGGGGGGGUCGGGGGGGGGGGGGGGGGGGGGGGUCGUGUGGCGUGAGGGGGGGGCGGGGGGGGAACGCGUGGGUGACCUACCUAUAGGGCGUGGGUAGCUGCGGGCAGCCGGCGCGCAUCCGGGAUAAGCUCUUUCCCCGCAUUGUUCACUAGUUAACGGAGGUUGUGCGGUCCCUUCUCUAUGAUUCCCGGCGGCAUUAGCUAUUUGGUCAGGUAACGGCUUACCAAGGCAACGAUGCGUAGCCGACCUGAGAGGGUGAUCGGCCACACUGGAACUGAGACACGGUCCAGACUCCUAAGGGAGGCAGCAGUAGGGAAUCUGCCGCAAUGGGCGAAAGCCUGACGGAGCAACGCCGCGUGAGUGAUGAAGGUCUUCGGAUCGUAAAACUCUGUUAUUAGGGAAGAACAAAUGUGUAAGUAACUAUGCACGUCUUGACGGUACCUAAUCAGAAAGCCACGGCUAACUACGUG
RNAcentral lists this ribosomal RNA (497 nucleotides) under uncultured bacterium. RNAcentral describes it as "partial 16S ribosomal RNA". The stretch from base 56 to 497 matches the Rfam family "Bacterial small subunit ribosomal RNA", at positions 38 to 507 of the family's 1533-position model. The record is from RNAcentral.